Molecule: long non-coding RNA, 1167 nt
Organism: Rhineura floridana
Lineage: Eukaryota; Metazoa; Chordata; Lepidosauria; Squamata; Rhineuridae
Exons: 5
Source: RefSeq, a predicted model, not a curated record
GGGGAAGAAAGUGAUGCGUUAGUCUCCGCGACGGCCUUUAGCCGGGCCUCUUGUGUCAGCGCACGUGUGGGUGGCCAUUCGUAGGCAGGGAGCGGAAGGGUGAGGGCGACCAGGAGAGAUCUAAGGGGCCAGAGAGGGCGAGUAGGGGACGGUGCAGUCCCGUGUCUCAGUGUUUGGAAAAGGGCUGGUUUGUGACUGCGGAGGCUUUCUCGGGUUUGGAAUGUCUCCCUUUGGUGAACCUUCUGAAAAGCGUUCAUUUGGUGGGGCUGGAGCAGAGAGAUUGGUAGUGUGAUUGAAGUGCUUGACUUCCAGGAGUCUUCCCUUCCCUGGCUGAGUACGCAGUUGCCAGUACCCUGAAGGGAGACAAGAACGAGCUCCAGAGUCACCUGGUGAAGCAGGUGAAGCUGUAUUUAACACUGACAGAUUAAAAAAGUGUGUUGUGAUGCUUAAUGCCUGUGAAGGAGAGGCUCUCUGCACUGAUGGAUCAACUGGAAGAGAAGGGUGAGCUUUCUCAGGUCUGGAAUGCUGCCCUUUGCUGAACCCCCAGAAGAGCCUUCAUUCUGUAGGGCUGGGCAGAGCAGGAGGUGGACCGGUGACUUGACUUCCAAGGGCCUUCCCUUCCCUGGCUGAGGACGCUGCUGCCGGUGCCAUAAAGGGGGACCAGAGCGAGCUCCUGAGUCACCUGGUGAAGCACCUGCAACUCUCUUUGACACAGAAUGAGGGGAAGCUGAAUUCCCACCAGACCCUGAUGCAUCAGAAGGUGGCAUAGGACUAAAUUGGCACAUGGGAACGGAGUGCACUGCUUCAAAUCCUUUUGCCAGCCUUAAGUGACUCAACUGGUGUCUCUGAGGCCUUUAGCACAGGUUCAGAAGACUUCACAGUUAAACUUGAAUGUUCCACUAUUUCAAAACUUCACGAAAGCAGAAAACCAUGUGAUAAGCAACAAACUGUCCCUUAUGUAUAUCUGCGCUGACAAAGAAUUGGUUUUUGUGGUUGUAAAACCACCUCUGAGGAAGAACAAAGUCAUAACAUGUCUGCCAGCUUUGACUGGAUUUCAUUGGGUUUCUUCAGCCAGACUCGGGACUGUGGCUUGUGUAUCAUGUCCUCAGCAUCUUCUCAUUGUAUCAAGCUGAUUUUUUUUAUAAAAAAGUAAAGCUUAAAUGUAAA